UACGUAGGGUGCGAGCGUUAAUCGGAAUUACUGGGCGUAAAGCGUGCGCAGGCGGUUCGUUGUGUCGGCGGUGAAAUCCCCGGGCUCAACCUGGGAAUGGCCGUUGAAACUGGCGAACUGGAGUGUGGCAGAGGGGGGUGGAAUUCCGCGUGGUAGCAGUGAAAUGCGUAGAGAUGCGGAGGAACACCGAUGGCGAAGGCAGCCCCCUGGGCUGACACUGACGCCUCAGGCACGAAAGCGUGGGGAGCGAACAGG
RNAcentral lists this ribosomal RNA (255 nucleotides) under uncultured bacterium. RNAcentral's name for it is "partial 16S ribosomal RNA". It matches the Rfam family "Bacterial small subunit ribosomal RNA", at positions 524 to 776 of the family's 1533-position model. The record is from RNAcentral.